This 91-nucleotide transfer RNA is filed under the name Gammaproteobacteria bacterium. RNAcentral's name for it is "tRNA-Ser". It matches the Rfam family "tRNA". Rfam says of the family: Transfer RNA (tRNA) molecules are approximately 80 nucleotides in length. Lineage: Bacteria; Pseudomonadati; Pseudomonadota; Gammaproteobacteria. The record is from RNAcentral.
GGAGAGGUGUCCGAGUGGUUGAAGGAGCACGCCUGGAAAGUGUGUGUACGGUAACACCGUACCGAGGGUUCGAAUCCCUCCCUCUCCGCCA